AUGUUAUCACGGGAGACACACGGCGGGUGCUAACGUCCGUCGUGAAGAGGGAAACAACCCAGACCGCCAGCUAAGGUCCCAAAGUCAUGGUUAAGUGGGAAACGAUGUGGGAAGGCCCAGACAGCCAGGAUGUUGGCUUAGAAGCAGCCAUCAUUUAAAGAAAGCGUAAUAGCUCACUGGUCGAGUCGGCCUGCGCGGAAGAUGUAACGGGGCUAAACCAUGCACCGAAGCUGCGGCAGCGACGCUGAUGCGUUGUUGGGUAGGGGAGCGUUCUGUAAGCCUGCGAAGGUGACCUGUGAGGGUUGCUGGAGGUAUCAGAAGUGCGAAUGCUGACAUAAGUAACGAUAAAGCGGGUGAAAAGCCCGCUCGCCGGAAGACCAAGGGUUCCUGUCCAACGUUAAUCGGGGCAGGGUGAGUCGACCCCUAAGGCGAGGCCGAAAGGCGUAGUCGAUGGGAAACGGGUUAAUAUUCCCGUACUUGGUGUUACUGCGAAGGGGGGACGGAGAAGGCUAUGUUGGCCGGGCGACGGUUGUCCCGGUUUAAGCGUGUAGGUGUGUGUUCCAGGUAAAUCCGGUUCACUUUAACACUGAGGCGUGACGACGAGGCACUACGGUGCUGAAGCAACAAAUGCCCUGCUUCCAGGAAAAGCCUCUAAGCAUCAGGUAACACGAAAUCGUACCCCAAACCGACACAGGUGGUCAGGUAGAGAAUACCAAGGCGCUUGAGAGAACUCGGGUGAAGGAACUAGGCAAAAUGGUGCCGUAACUUCGGGAGAAGGCACGCUGACACGUAGGUGAAGUGAUUUACUCAUGGAGCUGAAGUCAGUCGAAGAUACCAGCUGGCUGCAACUGUUUAUUAAAAACACAGCACUGUGCAAACACGAAAGUGGACGUAUACGGUGUGACGCCUGCCCGGUGCCGGAAGGUUAAUUGAUGGGGUCAGCGUAAGCGAAGCUCCUGAUCGAAGCCCCGGUAAACGGCGGCCGUAACUAUAACGGUCCUAAGGUAGCGAAAUUCCUUGUCGGGUAAGUUCCGACCUGCACGAAUGGCGUAAUGAUGGCCAGGCUGUCUCCACCCGAGACUCAGUGAAAUUGAACUCGCUGUGAAGAUGCAGUGUACCCGCGGCAAGACGGAAAGACCCCGUGAACCUUUACUAUAGCUUGACACUGAACAUUGAGCCUUGAUGUGUAGGAU
This 1193-nucleotide ribosomal RNA is filed under the name Salmonella enterica subsp. enterica serovar Typhimurium. RNAcentral describes it as "bacterial LSU rRNA". It matches the Rfam family "Bacterial large subunit ribosomal RNA", at positions 969 to 2144 of the family's 2925-position model. The record is from RNAcentral. Lineage: Bacteria; Pseudomonadati; Pseudomonadota; Gammaproteobacteria; Enterobacterales; Enterobacteriaceae.